Molecule: ribosomal RNA, 253 nt
Filed under: uncultured bacterium
Lineage: Bacteria
Description: partial 16S ribosomal RNA
Rfam family: Bacterial small subunit ribosomal RNA
Source: RNAcentral
UACGGAGGGGGCGAGCGUUAUCCGGAGUUAUUGGGCGUAAAGGGUGCGUAGGCGGCUGAUUAAGUCUGGGGUUAAAGUUCAUUGCUUAACUGUGGGAUUGCCUUUGAAACUGGCCGACUGGAGUGGGGCUGAGGUUGGCGGAAUUUGCUGUGUAGCGGUGAAAUGCGUAGAUAUAGGAUAGAACACCGGAUGCGAAGGCGGCUGACUAGGCCUUAACUGACGCUGAGGCACGAAAGCGUGGGGAGCGAACAGG